UGUCAAGGGAUGGGAAUCGAACCCACGACCUUCCGCUUACCGGGCAGAUGCCAUGACCACGAGGCUACCCUGGAC
RNAcentral lists this transfer RNA (75 nucleotides) under Cordylochernes scorpioides. RNAcentral's name for it is "tRNA-Thr". The record is from RNAcentral. Lineage: Eukaryota; Metazoa; Arthropoda; Arachnida; Pseudoscorpiones; Chernetidae.